CAGUAGCGCGGUAACACGGAGGGUGCAAGCGUUAUCCGGAUUUAUUGGGUUUAAAGGGUCCGUAGGCGGAUCUGUAAGUCAGUGGUGAAAUCUCACAGCUUAACUGUGAAACUGCCAUUGAUACUGCAGGUCUUGAGUAAAUUUGAAGUGGCUGGAAUAAGUAGUGUAGCGGUGAAAUGCAUAGAUAUUACUUAGAACACCAAUUGCGAAGGCAGGUCACUAAGAUUUAACUGACGCUGAUGGACGAAAGCGUGGGGAGCGAACAGGAUUAGAUACCCCGGUAGUCCCUGUCUCUUAUACA
This 301-nucleotide ribosomal RNA is filed under the name uncultured bacterium. RNAcentral describes it as "partial 16S ribosomal RNA". It matches the Rfam family "Bacterial small subunit ribosomal RNA", at positions 509 to 808 of the family's 1533-position model. The record is from RNAcentral.